This 637-nucleotide ribosomal RNA is filed under the name Alcaligenes faecalis. RNAcentral describes it as "bacterial SSU rRNA". It matches the Rfam family "Bacterial small subunit ribosomal RNA", at positions 845 to 1486 of the family's 1533-position model. The record is from RNAcentral. Lineage: Bacteria; Pseudomonadati; Pseudomonadota; Betaproteobacteria; Burkholderiales; Alcaligenaceae.
AGCGCAGCUAACGCGUGAAGUUGCCCGCGUGGGGAGUACGGUCGCAAGAUUAAAACUCAAAGGAAUUGACGGGGCCCCGCACAAGCGGUGGAUGAUGUGGAUUAAUUCGAUGCAACGCGAAAAACCUUACCUACCCUUGACAUGUCUGGAAAGCCGAAGAGAUUUGGCCGUGCUCGCAAGAGAACCGGAACACAGGUGCUGCAUGGCUGUCGUCAGCUCGUGUCGUGAGAUGUUGGGUUAAGUCCCGCAACGAGCGCAACCCUUGUCAUUAGUUGCUACGCAUGAGCACUCUAAUGAGACUGCCGGUGACAAACCGGAGGAAGGUGGGGAUGACGUCAAGUCCUCAUGGCCCUUAUGGGUAGGGCUUCACACGUCAUACAAUGGUCGGGACAGAGGGUCGCCAACCCGCGAGGGGGAGCCAAUCUCAGAAACCCGAUCGUAGUCCGGAUCGCAGUCUGCAACUCGACUGCGUGAAGUCGGAAUCGCUAGUAAUCGCGGAUCAGUAGGUCGCGAUCCAGGCGCUCCCGGGUGUUGUCCACACCCCCCGUCACCCCAUGGGAGUGGGUUCGCCCGAAGCAGGUAGCCUGACCAUAAGGAGGGCGCUCAACUGGUGCAGCAACUGAUACCUCGGUAACCU